AUGGCUCUUGUUGCCGACGAGCUCAAGGCCAAGGCCGAGGUGUACUACGACGAUGAGAUUUGCCAGCAGUGCACCAGGCUCCUGCUCAAGGAAGCAGGCCUCCCCAAUGGCCUGCUUCCCCUGAAGGACAUCAUGGAGUGCGGCUAUGUCGAGGAGACUGGGUAUGUGUGGCUCAAGCAAAAGAAGAGGAUAGACCACGUCUUCCAGAGCCUGGGGAGGGUGGUGUCUUAUGGCACUGAGAUCACUGCCUUCGCCGGGAAGGGCAGGAUCAAGAAGGUCAAAGGGAUAAAGACCAGGGAGCUCAUGGUGUGGCUCCCUGUGGAGGAGAUCUCCCUUGACGAACCAGCGACUGGUAAGCUCAUCUGCAAGAGCAUUGCCGGCUUUUCUAAGAUCUUCCCUGCAUCAGCUUUCCACAUCCCAGAGAAGGAGAAUGAGAAGGCCAACUGCGCCGGACCAAAACCAGUGGUCCUCAUGGAGAGGGCAGCACCAGUUGUUAAGAACAACUGA
RNAcentral lists this ribosomal RNA (507 nucleotides) under Triticum aestivum (bread wheat). RNAcentral's name for it is "partial small subunit ribosomal RNA". The record is from RNAcentral. Lineage: Eukaryota; Viridiplantae; Streptophyta; Magnoliopsida; Poales; Poaceae.